CUUGUUUCUAAGGAAAGAAAAAUCAACUGGGCACAGUGGCACACACCUGUAAUCCCAGCAGCUCAGGAGGCUGAGACAGGAGGAUUGUGAGUUCAAAGCCAACCUCAGCGAUUUAGCAAGGCCCUGAGCAACUCAGUAAGACCCUGUCUCUAAAUAAAAUAUCAAAAGGGCUGGGGAUGUGGCUCAGUGGUAAGUGCCCCUGAGUUCAAUCCCCAGUACCCCCCCUCAAAAAAAAAAACAACUUCACUCUCAUAUUUAGUACAGAUUAUAAUAAAUGGAGGCCCUGUUAAGUGCUGAUGAAUAGGUAUACAAAUAAAGCAGAUGUGUGUGUAAGUUUAAUUGGAGUUUGAAAACUGGUGGUAGAUGAGCACGUGGAGUGUGUAGUCCUAUUGAAAUCAGACCAGAGACAUGCAGGGAGAGGCAACUGGUGAUGAGGGAGAAAAUGAUAUCACUAAUAUUCACUCAGUACUUAACUGGGAGGCUCCUCAAUUCCCAGGGCCUAAUAUGCAAAGAUGGACUAGAUCCCUAGUUUCUGUCUUUAUGUCAUUUCCAUUCUAAUCACUAAUCACCAAAAAGAAAUUCACAAGAAGGUAUUCAGUUAUCUCCCAGGUGAGAUAGAUGCAAUGGAGGAAAUAUGCAAGGUGUGUGGGAGAGGAUUUCUCUAAUGGUGAGUCAGAGGAGCCUACUCUGAGGUUGUAGUAUUUAUGUGGAGCCUUGGGAAGGUGGAGGAGAAAGCCAGUUGCUUUGGAAUGGUCUCUGAUUACAUUAAGCAAGGGAGGAAGUCUGGGGAGGAAAUCUAUGAAGCUCAAGUGCUCCCCAGAUGCUUUUGCUUUAGCUACUGGUGCUCAUUCAUCUCUCCCCUGGGCUUCCUUGCACAACCUGUCCAGCUUGUUUCAUGUGUCUUCAAUGCUUAACAAAGAAGCAGGCAGAAACCAUCACUAGAAUUUGAGUGAAUGCAUUUGGGGUUGAGCUUUGCUUGACUUGGAGGUUCCUAGAUAUCUCAAGGUUGCUGUGACAGUGAUUUGAAGGGGAUGAACACAGCAGUGGUUUUCAGGAUGCAUUAAACAGGGACAGCUGGGAAGGACUCUGUCCUCUCUGCCCUGAGCACUGCUGGUUGUCCUGCUAAUGCUUUUUUGGCUUGAAGUUACCAACCAGGUUAGGAGGUGGAGUGAGAGUUCAGGCCUUUGCCCAACACAGGUGAGUGGACAGGUGGCAUUAGCAGACUGGAUGGGAAGAGCAUUAAAACAGCAAGAGCUUUUACAGCCUUGAAACUGUAAUUGGUGAUUCAGCUGGCAAGCCACUGCUGUCAUACAGUGUGCAGUGCCGGGUCAAGUGUGGCCACCAUCAUCAUCUGUAUGGUGCUGGGGAUUGAACCCAGGUUCUUGUGCACACAAGGCAAGCAUUCUACUAAUUGAGCUAUACUUCAAGUUGACUUGAACGAUGUGGUCAACUCCCAGGGUCUGGUUAUCUUGCUAUUCAGUGAGUUCUUUUUGCUCUCACAACUGAGAGGGUUUUCAGUUACAACUAAACUGUAGAUACACAGGUACACAGUAAGCAAUAGUAACUAGAGCUUUGUAGUCAAAAGUCCUGAGUUUCUCUGCUCCAGCCUCUGCUGAUUCGUAGGCUGGGAACCUUGGGAGCAGUUACCUACUCUCUCGGAAACUGUUUCCUCCUCUGUACAAUGUACUUGUGACACCAGUCAGUUCACUUAACUCUCUAAACUUCAGUUGUUUUUGUAAAAUAAUUCUAUAUUUAGCAUUUCAUAUUAACAUAAACCAACGUAAGCAUUAAUAUGUAAUAAAAUAAUGGUACCAUAUGAGCUUUAAAGGGGGGUUGUGAGGACAAAAUAAAACAAUGCUUUUGAGACCCAAAUGAAUAACCAUUAUGAUUAGCUUGGAAAAUCUUUGGUCAUAUAUAUGUUCAAAAGUCUUUUAUUAUCAUCAUCAUCAUCAUCAUCAUCAUCAUGUAUAUGGUGCUGGGGAUUGAACCCAGGUUCUUGUGCACACAAGGCAAGCAUUCUACUAAUUG
RNAcentral lists this long non-coding RNA (2028 nucleotides) under Marmota monax (woodchuck). Lineage: Eukaryota; Metazoa; Chordata; Mammalia; Rodentia; Sciuridae. The record is from RNAcentral.